Non-coding RNA from Poecilia formosa (Amazon molly), 45 nucleotides. NCBI's taxonomy places the organism in Eukaryota, Metazoa, Chordata, Actinopteri, Cyprinodontiformes, Poeciliidae. The record is from Rfam.
CCAAAGGCCCUUUUCAGGGCCGCCCACUUAUCGGUUAAUCAGCUG